Molecule: ribosomal RNA, 559 nt
Filed under: uncultured bacterium
Lineage: Bacteria
Description: bacterial SSU rRNA
Rfam family: Bacterial small subunit ribosomal RNA
Source: RNAcentral
GCCAGCAGCCGCGGUAAUACGUAGGUUCCAAGCGUUAUCCGGAAUUACUGGGCGUAAAGGGUGUGUAGGCGGAUUUUUAAGUUAGAUACGAAAACUAGUGGCUUAACCACGAGAAGGUAUUUAAUACUGGAAGUCUUAGAGCGCAUUAAGAGGUUAGUGGAAUUAGUAGUGGAGCGGUAAAAUGCAUUGAUAUUACUAGGAACGCCAAUGGUGAAGACAACUAACUGGGAUGCAGCUGACGCUGAAACACGAAAGCGUGGGGAGCAAUCGGGAUUAGAUACCCCGGUAGUCCACGCCGUAAACGAUGUUCACUAUCUGUCGGGGGUUUCGACCCCUUCGGUAGAACAGCUAACGCGUUAAGUGAACCGCCUGGGGACUACGAACGCAAGUUUAAAACUCAAAGAAAUUGACGGGGACCCGCACAAGCAGUGGAGCAUCUGGUUUAAUACGAUGCUAAGCGUAAAACCUUACCAGGGUUUGACAUCCUAGGAAGGCCGAGGAAACUUGGCUGUGCCUGUUUACAGGAAUCUAGUGACAGAUGUUGCAUGGCCGUCGUCAG